RNAcentral lists this ribosomal RNA (497 nucleotides) under uncultured bacterium. Its description in RNAcentral is "partial 16S ribosomal RNA". It matches the Rfam family "Bacterial small subunit ribosomal RNA", at positions 28 to 507 of the family's 1533-position model. The record is from RNAcentral.
GAUGAACGCUGGCGGCGUGCCUAAUACAUGCAAGUCGAGCGAACAGACGAGGAGCUUGCUCCUCUGACGUUAGCGGCGGACGGGUGAGUAACACGUGGAUAACCUACCUAUAAGACUGGGAUAACUUCGGGAAACCGGAGCUAAUACCGGAUAAUAUAUUGAACCGCAUGGUUCAAUAGUCAAAGACGGUUUUUCUUUCACUUAUAGAUGGAUCCGCGCCGUAUUAGCUAGUUGGUAAGGUAACGGCUUACCAAGGCAACGAUGCGUAGCCGACCUGAGAGGGUGCUAGGCCACACUGGAACUGCGACGCGGUCCAGACUACUACGGGAGGCAGCAGUAGGGAAUCUUCCGCAAUGGGCGGAAAACUAACGGAGCAGCGACGCGUGAGUAGUGAAGGUCUUCGGAUCGUAAAGCUCUGUUAUUGGGGAAGAACAAAUGUGUAAGUAACUAUGCACGUCUUGACGGUACCUGGUCAGAAAGCCACGGCUAACUACGUG